UCGCCAACUAAAUAAUUCGUAUAUAAGUUUAUUUAUUAUUCUCCAGCCGAUGUGGGACGGCAACAGUCACAAAUUUCUUAAAACAUUAUUAUCAUAGUUAUAAAAUCCGGACCGGACUAGCCAGUUCGGUCCAGAACCCGUCGAAUUGGACCCAAGUCCCGUCCGAGUUUAAUGAAUUUAUGGCUGAACAAUCAGCUCUCUAUCAACCCGUUUGAACCACUGGCUUUUCAUAAAAAUCGGGUACCACUUUUCCUUUGACCCACCAGGUCUUUAUUAACCUUUGUUUCUUUCCAAUUUUCAGUUUCCAUCUUUUCGGUUUCCUCACUCCCGUCUCCUCACAACUUCUAAAACAUUAGGGAUUGUUGCAAAAUCAAAAAGUUAAGCCGCCGUCUCCAAUCUCUUGCAAUUCAACAACUCCAAAAAAUCCAAUCUCCAAUUUCAAGUUUUAAGAUACGGAAUCCAUGAAACAAUAGCCCCCCAUGUUGCACUGGUUGAUGAACAAGCAAGCCCAGAAGAAUGUGAAAUCCAUGCGAAUAGGGGACCUUUCUUUUUUUCUACCAUUUGGGCACGAAAGUCGGUUGCGUGGUGGGCAUGGUCUGUGUGGAGAAGGAUGUUUGGAGAAAAGUUUGUGAGAUGGGUGGUGGAUAUGAUGGGGACAAUGGCGGUCAUUAUGCUUAAUGGUGAUUAGGGGGUGCUCUAAAGGUGUACUUGUAAUUACUGACUUUUUGGAAGGGGUGCUUCUAGGCUAGCAAGUAGCAACAUCUUUAUUUUGGCUACGGGGGAUAUGCUCUAAAGGUAUUUGAUAUUUUGUAGCAAAGGGAUAUGUUAAUAGUUGUAAUCACUGCAACAUCUUUAUUUUAGACUAGCAACAUCCUUAUUUUGGCUAUGAAAUCUUCUAUAAUGUGUGAUAUGAUGAUCGGAAUCAA
Molecule: long non-coding RNA, 926 nt
Organism: Olea europaea var. sylvestris
Lineage: Eukaryota; Viridiplantae; Streptophyta; Magnoliopsida; Lamiales; Oleaceae
Exons: 2
Source: RefSeq, a predicted model, not a curated record